This 5509-nucleotide long non-coding RNA is filed under the name Brassica rapa (field mustard). RNAcentral describes it as "long non-coding RNA (BRAP_LNC008733)". The record is from RNAcentral. Lineage: Eukaryota; Viridiplantae; Streptophyta; Magnoliopsida; Brassicales; Brassicaceae.
GCCAAUCCUUGGCUUAUAUAUGUCUCUACACUUUGCAAUAUCAUAAACCUAUAUCCUAGGGCUGAUAUUAACUUGAAUGAUGGACGGCCUGGAUGAGAUAAGGCUGGUCUUUGGUCUUGGCAGCUUGUCUUGUAAUUGGUUGAUUCAAACUGAGGCAAAAGGAGACUGAAGGCGCCAAUGUAUCUUGCUCCUUAUGUGACCAGAUACAUGCUUCUCCUUUUGCCUUUACCUUUUGCUUUUGCUUUCACUUUACAGCUUGCUCCUUAUCUAUACAAGAUGCUCAGCAUAUUCCUUCCCUCCAUAAGCCUUCAACGGUCUUGUUAAUUCAAACCUGCCGCGCCCACACAUUGCACAACUUGAUCAAGACUGAUCCGAGUGAUGGCUGUACCGGAUGGGAUGUACGGACGCUGUACGGCCUUGAGGUCCGUACACUCGUCCUAUGCUUUCAUCCAACUUCCUUCUAUGGUUAACCCUUACACCUUCUUGGAUCACCCUAGGCCGUACCAUGGCCGUACCGAACGCCCUAUCUUUGCACCAUACUUCCAUCUUCUCUUUAACUCCUCCAAAGCCUCCACAUGAUCAGUCUAAGUCUUUCCUAGACUUAACUUCACAAGAUAACUCCUUCAGAACACUUCUGAAGCUUGAUUGAACUCUUCUAGACAUCUUCUAGAGCUUGCCCUAUUCUUGUACAAGCUCCAUCUUCUCUUCAGUUCAACACUCCCCCUCAAGCUUGACUUUAGGAGAUCCUAAGCCAAGCUUGGAACUCUGAAGAGUCUCCCUCAUUAAAAACCUUACAAGGAAAACCCAUUGGGACAAAACCUUGCAAGGGAAAAAGAGUAGAGCUCUCCAAAGCCUAGGGAUUGGCCAGUGAACUCUUGUGCCUUAGAACCAGUGAGGUUGGACACAAGAAGUUCUGGAUCACGGCCUAAACUGGUGCAGCAACUCCACAAGACUUUGCGCACUCAACAACUCAGCUUCACCUCUUCAUGGAACUGGUUUGAGGUCUCCCCCUCUCAACUGACUUCACAGCCUUCUUAGAGAAGCUAGGACACGACCAGAUCAUCUUCACAACACUAGUGAGGCUGAUCAACACUUCACACACGGCUUGCCCUCUUCAUAGAACUGGUUUGGAUAUCCCCCUCUCAACCGACUUCACAGCCUUCUUAGGGAAGCUAGGAAAUGAUCAGGUCCUUCUUUGGUGAGGCUCAAGCACUGGUACCUGAUACAUUAUCCCACAGGUGCAUCAGUACCUAUUAAAAACAAGAAAAUGAAUAUCCUGCAUCACACUUGAUGCACACAAUCUCACAAUUCAAUCAUAAUCAUCUUAAGUAUCUUUUCAAGCACAAGCAAUGAAUAAGAUGAAUGAAAAAGAUUGAAAAGAGUUUUAAAAAUCUAAGGGAACUUCCCUUGUGUUUUUGUGAGUUUCCAAACUCUCUCAAUGCACCAUCUUCAUGGCAUCAUCAACUUCUUGGAAAGGCAGAGUGGAUUCAUCAGCUUCUCCUCAAUCACCUCUCAUUGAAGCUGCUUUGAUGGAGAGCCUUCUUCCUCACUUGCCAAGGCUGCUCUGAACAGCCUCUUGCCUAGACACGCCACUGACUUGGUCCGGUUGAUGAUCCUUGUAGAAGCUUUUGCAAAAGACUUGUUACUGACCAUGGAUCAUAUGCAUUAAGACUCCCCCUCAAGCUUAGAACCGAAACCAGAAGAAGCUAAGCUUGUGAUGAUCCUAUGCAUCUCCAUGGUCUAAUAACUAUCAUCUUUCAUGAUAGCUUUCUUCUUGUGAGUUUACUCUCUUCCUUAACCAGGAACUAGGGUGUUUGAAUCACCAUAGAGAGUCUCACAAGACACACCUCUCAUUGCAUAAUGACCCAUGCUACACUUCCUGUAGACUAAGGACUAGAUAUGUCCAAUGGUAUUAUGCAAUGGCUAUCUCUCAUUGCAUACUCAAUCACACUACACUUCCUGUAGAUUAUGGACUAACAUGUCCUAGUGAUGAUAUGCAAUGGCACAAGACCUUUGUCUCUACAUUCUUGGUUGAUGGCGAGUUACAUGUAUCACUUCCCUUGUGUACCUAACACCACCAAAACUCAAUGCAAGAUCAGAUCAUCCCAUUGGGAUCAAACCAAGAUCAUCCAUCCUGUUUGAUCACCAAUGCCACAAUAAUAUAUGAUACUUGAAACAAGCUAGACAAUCAAGACAAUCUAGCAAAGACAAUCAAUUCAGUUUUUUUUUUUAAAUGCAACAAUAGAUGAAUGCAUUAGGUUACACUAACUAUAUGAAUGAAACAGAUUCAAUCCAAAAUGGAACACAAGUCUAGAUGAUACUUCUGCAAUUAAGGCGACAAGAGUGACACAAUUCAUGCAUAUGCUCACUAGUUUUAUCAAGGCCAAUGAUUCAAGUAGCUUAGACAUACUUCUAAAUGCUUAUAAGACAUCACUGAUGGAUUUAACUAUGGCAUAGCAACAAUCAGAACUGGAUUGAGUCGAGACAAGCAGAUUUCAAUUUCUAACAAUGACAAUGCAAGUUCUAUACAGUUCUCUAAAUGCAAAGCUUAUAUCAGGUCAUUUGCAAUUUAGGCUCAUUUUUAAAUGCAUUACUACAUGAAUGCACAAUCUUAAAGAAUUAGCUAUAUGAAUGCAACGGGUUCAAUCCAUGAGUAAUAUUAAAGCUCUGCACAACAGUUUCAAUCAGAACCAAUGAUGCAAGCAACUUAGACAAUUUCUAAUUGAUGCAAGACUUUCAUUGAUGGAUUAAACAUAGGCAAUAACAUCAGAUAACACUAGGAUUGAACUUAGACAGUAUGAGAUAUGCUUAUGUAUGCAAAAGAACUUAUCAAUCAUGAUGCAAGCAGCAGAGACAUUCUACUCAAUUCUACAACACAUCCAUGAUGAUUCAAGCUAUGACAACACUCAAGACAAUGCAAUAAACAAAACAUGAGAUUCUGGGACUCUAGACACCACUCACAGCAUAAUAAAUAAAGACACAAGCUCUUAUUAAGGGUUAAGAGGUUUGCUUACAAACAAGAGAUCCGAGCUGAUCUCUUGAACCUCCAUGGGCACGGUUCACUUGAACUUGGCAUGAACUUGAUACUUGGAUUCAGUAUCCAACACCUUUCCUUGGUGUGCCCAUCCCUCUUGCAAUGCUCACUCUCCAAUGCUUCACUCUUCGGCUGGAUCACUCCAUGAUCAGCUUGCAAUGGUCUUGGUUUACAUUGCAUCACCCUCCUGGUGAUGCUCUUUCUUUGCAUGUCGACUGUCCUCUCUACACUCAUCUGAUGCGUAGGCUAUGGUGACUAAACCACCAUGGACAGAACCAUAAGUCAUCUCUCCAUUGUCACAACAUCCUCUCUACCCUCUUUGGAGCAGGCUGUGGACUUCCCACAGAAUGUUGGCAACAGGCUUCAUUUUACCAUUCUAUUGUAUGAUAAGGAUGAACUUCAAGACCAGGAGCACAUCACCCUAACAGCUGCGCUUAAAUCACUGAUCCAUCCUUUUGCUUUAAGCUUCAAGUACUCUCAGAUCACCGGCCUUCCUCAUGGCAUAGGUGGUGACCUUCUUCUUCUUGUGUGCCUUGAACCAGGAGCUCAACAACCUCGUGGCCUGCGCUUCUUAAACCGGCUUCUACACACAAGAACCUUCCCAUUGCUCCACACAAUGGUUGGUCUUCCGCUUGUAUGUCUUGAACCAGGAGCUCAACAACCUCGUGGCCUGCGCUUCUUAAACCAGCUUCUACACACAAGUAUCUUCCCAUUGCUCCACACAAUGGUUCAAGUCUUCCUCUUUUCUUGGAUAGGUGGUGAGCAGAGAACACUUCUUGUGAACCUGAAACACCACUCAAACUCCAGCAAGGAUAAGACACAAGAGUAUUGGGAUCAAUCCUUGAUUAAUCAUCAGGUUUGAUUCCCAAUCUCACAAGCAAUGCAACAGAUAGACACAAGGCAUUAUCAAGUUCUAUUCUUUGCAAGCUAGCUCUCUAAGAACAAGCAAGAUCCUAACAGAUUCAAGACAAGUUACUUAGGCACUUUUAAAAGCUUCUUUACUCAGCACUUUAGACAUGAAUCUAAUGCUUCAAUGUAAGAUAGCCACAAGACAUAUGCAACAGCUUUAAAUUCAGUUUCAAUCCAUGUAUGCAAGCAGAUUCAGUUAAUCACUCUAAGCAUCACUAUGAAACGAAGCUAAGCAUAUUAAUCACAUUCAGUCACCAAACAAAGCUCUUAAAGUAUCCUGGGACAGAUUCUAAACAUUUUAAUUUAUCAAUCUUUAACAGUCCUCAGGUUUUCAAUCACAUCACACAUUACAACCAGUCAACAACACAAGCUCAUUAUCAAGAGGGUUUUAAAAUCGCUUACACAAGGAACCAGGUUGGUUCCUUAAACCUCCAAGGGGACUGGCCAUGGCUUUUGUUGAAUCUGAGAGUCUGGAUAGUCACCCCCUUCUACUCCUUCAGUUCAUGACCACCUUCUUGUUUCUCUCCUGCCCACUCAAAGACUCCUCCUUUCUCCAAGUCUUCUAGGCGCACCACCUUGACAGCUUUCAUGAUGAACCGGGUGAAGAAAGCUCUUGGAGGAGGCCCGCCUUGGAUGAGGUUCGUGAGUCCUCUCCAUAAACUAUUCUUCUCUCCAAUGAGUCUCUCCAUCAGUAUAGACAGGGAAAGGAUGAGAGACAACGCCCUUCAGAUCUUCUUCUCAUGGAGAAACUGAACUCGGAUGGGAAUGUCUUCAAGGAUUGGAUUUGAGCUGAGGGUAGAGCUUGUGUUAUGUGGCGGAAGCUACAGCUCAGGUUCUGAUGAACCUGGCUCUGAUACCAUAUGAAUUUUUAAGAGAUCUCUACUCUGGUAGUAUGUGGUGUGUGUAUAAGCUUCAAUGAAGAAUGAUUGAGCUUGUUUCUAGGUGAUUUUAGGAAGAGAGAUUUGUGAGAGUGUAUAAGAGACUUAAGAAAGAGAGAUUAAGAGACUUAAGAGACUAGAGAGACUGAGAGAAUAAGAACUGAAGAUUAGUGUUUCAGAUUAGAGAGGAGAGGGGAAACCCCCUAACUCACUUAGUCUAUUAAAUCGCCAAUCUUGGCUUUAUAUUGUCUAUCUAACACUUUGCAAUAUCAUAAACCUAUAUCCUAGGGCUGAUAAUAACUUAAUGAUGGACGGCCUGAUGAGAUAAGGCUGGUCUUUGGUCUUGGCAGCUUGGCUUGUAAUUGGUUUGAUUCAAACUGAGGCAAAAAGGAGGACUGAAGGCGCCAAUGUAUCUAUGCUCCUUAUGUGACCAGAUACAGCUUCUCCUUUUGCCUUUACCUUUUUGCUUUUGCUUUCACGUACAGCAUUCUCCUUAUCUAUACAAGAUGCUCAGCAUAUUCCUUCCCUCCAUAAGCCUUCAACGGUCUUGUUAAUUCAAACCUGCCGCGCCCACACAUUGCACAACUUGAUCAAGACUGAUCCGAGUGAUGGCUGUACCGGAUGGGAUGUACGGACGCUGUACGGCCUUGAGGUCCGUACACUCGUCCUAUGCCUUCAUCCAACUUCC